GACGAACGCUGGCGGCGUGCUUAACACAUGCAAGUCGAACGGAAAGGCCCUGCAUUUGUGGGGUGCUCGAGUGGCGAACGGGUGAGUAACACGUGAGUAACCUGCCCUUGACUUUGGGAUAACUUCAGGAAACUGGGGCUAAUACCGGAUAGGAGCUCCUGCUGCAUGGUGGGGGUUGGAAAGUUUCGGCGGUUGGGGAUGGACUCGCGGCUUAUCAGCUUGUUGGUGGGGUAGUGGCUUACCAAGGCUGUGACGGGUAGCCGGCCUGAGAGGGUGACCGGCCACAUUGGGACUGGGAUACGGCCGAGACGCCUACGGGAGGCAGGAGUGGGGAAUAUUGCACAAUGGGCGGAAGCCUGAUGCAGCAACGCCGCGUGCGGGAUGACGGCCUUCGGGUUGUAAACCGCUUUCGCCUGUGAGGAAGCGUGAGUGACGGUAAUGGGUAAAGAAGCACCGGCUAACUACGU
Molecule: ribosomal RNA, 467 nt
Filed under: uncultured bacterium
Lineage: Bacteria
Description: partial 16S ribosomal RNA
Rfam family: Bacterial small subunit ribosomal RNA
Source: RNAcentral